CCACACCUAAAAAACUUUCCACGUGAACCGUUUCAACCCAAUAGUUGGGGGUCUUAUUUGGCGGCGGCUGCUGGCUUAAUUGUUGGCGGCUGCUGCUGAGUGAGCCCUAUCAAAAAAAAGGCGAACGUUUGGGCUUCGGCCUGAUUUAGUAGUCUUUUUUCUUUUAAACCCAUUCCUUAAUACUGAAUAUACUGUGGGGACGAAAGUCUCUGCUUUUAACUAGAUAGCAACUUUCAGCAGUGGAUGUCUAGGCUCGCACAUCGAUGAAGAACGCUGCGAACUGCGAUACGUAAUGCGAAUUGCAGGAUUCAGUGAGUCAUCGAAAUUUUGAACGCAUAUUGCACUUCCGGGUUAGUCCUGGAAGUAUGCCUGUAUCAGUGUCCGUACAUUAAACUUGACUUUCUUCCUUCCGUGUAGUCGGUGGAGGAGAUGUCAGAUGUGAAGUGUCUUGCGAUUGGUCUUCGGACCGGCUGCGAGUCCUUUUAAAUGUACUAAACUGAACUUCUCUUUGCUCGAAAAGUGGUGGCGUUGCUGGUUGUGAAGGCUGCUAUUGUGGCAAAUUGGCGACUGGUUUGUCUGCUGCGGCGUUAAUGGAAGAGUGUUCGAUUCGUGGUAUGGUUGGCUUCGGCUGAACAAUGCACUUAUUGGACGUUUUUCCUGCUGUGGCGUGAUGGACUGGUGAACCAUAGCUCGGUGGCUUGGCUUUUGAAUUGGCUUUGCUGUUGCGAAGUAGGGUGGCAGCUUCGGUUGUCGAGGGUCGAUCCAUUUGGGAACUUAAUGUGUACUUCGGUAUGCAUCUCAA
The sequence is a ribosomal RNA, 802 nucleotides long. The stretch from base 229 to 383 matches the Rfam family "5.8S ribosomal RNA".